UAAAGGAAGCGAUUCCGGCUACGGAUGGUCAUGCGUCGCAUUAGCUUGUUGGCGGGGUAACGGCCCACCAAGGCGACGAUGCGUAGGGGUUCUGAGAGGAAGGUCCCCCACACUGGUACUGAGACACGGACCAGACUCCUACGGGAGGCAGCAGUGAGGAAUAUUGGUCAAUGGCCGCAGGGCUGAACCAGCCAAGUCGCGUGAGGGAUGACGGUCCUAUGGAUUGUAAACCUCUUUUGUCAGGGAGCAAAGGGCGCCACGUGUGGCGUUUUGCGAGUACCUGAAGAAAAAGCAUCGGCUAACUCCGUGCCAGCAGCCGCGGUAAUACGGAGGAUGCGAGCGUUAUCCGGAUUUAUUGGGUUUAAAGGGUGCGCAGGCGGAAUGUCAAGUCAGCGGUAAAAUUUCGGGGCUCAACCCCGUCGUGCCGUUGAAACUGGCGUUCUUGAGUGAGCGAGAAGUAUGCGGAAUGCGUGGUGUAGCGGUGAAAUGCAUAGAUAUCACGCAGAACUCCGAUUGCGAAGGCAGCAUACCGGCGCUCAACUGACGCUCAUGCACGAAAGCGUGGGUAUCGAACAGGAUUAGAUACCCUGGUAGUCCACGCAGUAAACGAUGAAUACUAACUGUCCGGGCAGAAUGAUGCCUGG
RNAcentral lists this ribosomal RNA (644 nucleotides) under uncultured bacterium. Its description in RNAcentral is "bacterial SSU rRNA". It matches the Rfam family "Bacterial small subunit ribosomal RNA", at positions 202 to 842 of the family's 1533-position model. The record is from RNAcentral.